Long non-coding RNA from Cyprinus carpio (common carp), 3996 nucleotides. RefSeq lists it as uncharacterized. The transcript has 4 exons. The record is from RefSeq and is a predicted model, not a curated record. Lineage: Eukaryota; Metazoa; Chordata; Actinopteri; Cypriniformes; Cyprinidae.
UUUCUGUAUACGAAAAAAGCUUUGUACCAAAAGUGAUCACAGCUAACCAGUGGAAAUGUGUGUGCAAUUUAACAAAAUUACCUCAAAAACCAGGAAAUGAAAUGCCUUGUAGGCAGGACAAUGAUCCUGUGGGAGAGUGGAAAUGUUCAGUCUCUGGACAACAAGCUCUGCGAGCUGAAAGCCCAGAUCUCUUUCCAAUGAGAGACGAGGGAUUGCUGCAUUAUCUGCCUUACAAAAACUUGGAUGUCUGUGAAGAUUCCAGACUCAGCCAUCGAACCUGUGGGGUUCGCAGUGCACAAGGCGGACAGAGUGAAAGACCGCUCAGUGUCAAAACAGGUGUACUGCUUUGUGUGUGGAAAAUCAGAAAAAGGCCAAACAGAGGAGCAAAGCACCUGGGUAUUCACUAUGCCAUUUCUGCCUGUUGACUACAUAUAUUCAAUGUGAAUCAUGCAAGAGGUGGGUUAAUGUUUGGUGCCUCAACAUUAAUGUGCCACCAGAACAACAAGCAUGGAUUUGUGAUUGGUGUUAGUAAGCUCUUAUAGGAGCUUAUGCUGAAAGUGUGUUUAAACAGCAAGAAAUGUGUCUUGCGUAUUUGAUAUGUUAUGGAGUCACUUUUGUAGUGUUUAGUUAUGUUUGAUAUUGGUCUAUUGGUGUAUGCAAAUUUCCAAUGUGCUUAUGUUUUGUUAUUUUUCAUAUUCAUUAAUACAACAUAUUCCUUAUGAGUUUGGGCAGUACAGUAUAAUCAUUACAAGUUAUUUGAUUAUUUUAUAUGUAAUGUUUUUGUUGCAUUGUAUUCAUAUUACUGUCUUACAUUAUUUAUAUACUUAGUUACUCAAGGAUUACUCAUUUAUAUUAUUUAUAUUCUUCAGUUGACAUAUAAAAGAUACAUUUUCUUAUGAUUAAGUAAUGUUUGAACAGGAUGUUGGAAAUGUAAUCUAUGCAAUUUUUUUUUUAAUAUGCAAGGAUGUACUAAGUGCACUAUUUUAAGAGCUGUUAUUUGUUGCUAAUUGAUAUUUGAAGAUUGCAAGCUCUGCUUAUUUUUUUCAAAUGAUGAGAAACCACAGUCGCAUUUGUAUUUUUAACUGAUCUUAUCUAUAUCACCUCAUUAUCAUGUCAUACUGACCCAGCUCUGACUUUUGUCUCUUUUGUCUCUAAUUGUUGUUAAUGCAUUUUAGGGAAAGACUUUGUCUGCCUGGAUCUCUCUCUGCAUCACAUAUUGUUGUAGGGCAUGUUGUCUUCUGCUGGCCUUUUAAGUGAAUGCAGUUUGUAAAAACUCACAUGCAUUUGUGAAGGAGAAAUUAUUGUGACAUUUGAUAUGUUGACACUGGACAUUCAGUGGACAUUCGCAAGUAAAUAUGCCAUCAAAUCAAUACUUGCCCAUUUUGAUCGAUUGUGAAAAAAAUUAAAAAAGUAGGUUGACUGAUGUCGCUGAUUAGAAUAUGCAAAAAAUAUCUUUAUUGCACAUAAAAUGUGAAAGUUAUUGAAAGUGGAAAUGUGUGAAAUGUUGUGAAUGUGCGAAUAUAAAACCAACUUUACCCAAGUACUGGUGAGCCAUGCCCAUAUAAGGACCGAGCUUUGUGGAUCAAGGAAGUGGUAUGAUUGUGUGUAUGUUUUCCUCCCUUUCUGACUAAACUGUGUUGCUCAGAAUUCAAUUGCGGAAGUAGAAGGAUCUUGUGUAAGCAGGACUGAACUGGAACUGAGAUUUAGUGAAAUCCUAAGUUAUACUGAGUCUGCUAUUGUGAGCAGUUAAUUUGAUUUGUGAUUUUUAAUUUUCUAUUGUUAUUUUUUUCCCAAUUCUACUGUAUUUUAUUUAAUCCAAUUAUUUGGUUUUAUAUAAAUAAACAUUUCUUUUUUUUCUGAGAAACAAGGGUCAAAAAGGUAUUUCAAAGUGUUAUCGUUUGGAAGAAUUGUAUUUAAAUUUAAAGUUAUUCUUUACAUCAGAUAAACCAAUUAGAAACAACUUGAAUAAAUAAGUGAAAAUACAUUUUAUACACAUAUUAGCUGAACAAGGGUCAAUUAACUCUAUUAGCUUGAAUCUAAAUAGAUCAAAAAAGAGAAAAACAAUAAUAGUGACAAAACUAAAUAGAAAAUAUAAAUAUAUAUAAGAGGUUAGAAUAAGGUAAAAUUUAAAUUGUUUGGAGCAAGUCUUUACAUUUUUUUGCCAUUUCUUUUGUGUCAUGUUUUGAUGUUGCUUUAAAUUUCACUGCUUUAUUUUAUUUGUAUUCAUUAUUUUCCUAAAUACAUCUACCUGUUUCAAACGCAGCCAGUGUUGUCACUAUUGCCUUUCUCCUUGUUGACACCGUCUCUUGAGCGAGUCUAAUCUUCUGGUCACUGGUCCAAAUCUAGAAACCGUUAUUCACUGUUUGAAAGGAAGGGUUGUACUCGCACCCCAAGGCACGUUACACGUGCCACAUAUUUUCACCGUCAUGAAAUAAGUUAAAGUGCAAAUUGUGCAAUUUGACAGGUUACAACAGAACAGAAAAAUGUCAUCUGCUGUGGGCGUAAGGUUUCACAAGCAGAUACUCUUUGUUCUCUGUUAGCUACAUAAGGUUUUGAAGCUGCUUUUUGUGGAUUACUGCACACACUGUCUCCCAGCCACCAGUUGAACCAACUCCUGGACCGAAUAUACAACAGUUAUUUUCUCUUAUCUCUGCAAUCUUCCCAGCUCCCAUUUAAAAACAUGGGGAACGAGACUUCACGCUCAAAUACCCACGUUGCCAACGCAACUGGGAAGCAUCUUCGGAUUUUCUAUGGAGUGGAUACAAUGAGGCUGGAAGAAAUGGUGAUAAAUGUGGGGGCAGAGAUAGGAGGUUCAGCAUCAAAAACUGAAAAAUCAGUAUCAGGAAAGAUUUCCACCGAUGUGAAGAUGGUUUUUAAACCAGACUCCCGGAUCCGUUACGUUCACCUGCCGCAGAAUGAGACAUGUAACUUUGCAGGGGAAGGCACCAUCUAUGCCUCUGUCCUUUUGGAAGAUGAAAUGGAUGACAAAAUCUGCAGUGGUGUCAUUUGCCAAAAUUUCCGGAUCCCCAACGACCGGUCUUUUAUCGUGACUGCCAAUCAUACAAUCAAAUUGCAAAAGUAUGGUGCAGGCUAUUGGAUUGACGAAGAUGGCAAUAACCAUCGACCUUAACUUUCCUCUUCAUCCUCCUCCAUUAUCAUGUUGUGUUCUAAUUUUGAUAAGCAGAUAAGAUGGCCAUUUUGGCGAGGUUAAUUGGAAUAGUAAUAGUUUAGAUCAGUGGUUCUCAGCCUUUUUGACUCCAUGGCCCCCCAUUGUCCAAGACAAUAUUUGAAGGCCUCCUCGCCCAAAACUAGAUGUGUCUAAUUAAAAAUAAUUAAUCAUGCAUAAUUUUUGAUUCUAGAAAUUCAGAAAGAGUCUGUUUAUAAUUUGUAGGUAUACAUCUUAAAGUGUUUAUUAGCAUUUUAAUUAAGUAUAAUUAUUUUAAUAUUUCUUAUUUUAAAUGAAUUUUAUGUCAUCUUGAGGCCGCCUUGGAAGUGUGCUGAGGCCCCCUAGUGGGUACUAGUGCCCUGGUUGAGAACCACUGAUUUAGAUAACAAAAUCUUUAUGUUUUCGACAACAAUGUAUGUAAACAAAAAAAAAGUUUUGUAAUAAUGUUUAAUCCAUUUUCGGCAUGGAGACACACAUGAUGUACCCAAAAUAAAAAGGUUUCUGCAUAUGCAUAUUCAACAUAUGUUCACAAAGCUGACACUUCAAAGUUUACUGUUCAAGAAUCAGAAUUACUCAGACUGUUAUGAUAAUAAACAUAUAAGCUCAAACAUGAAAACAAAAAUAAAAAUAUUAAAAACAUUUUUAAAUGUAUAAAAAAAUGUUGAUGUAGGAUAUGAUUUUAGAAACAAUGAAACUAAAGCCACAAGUCUACUAAUGCGUCAAUUUAAAAUUCAUAAUAGGCCAUGUCAUGUGUGUUUUUAGAGAAGGCUAAUAAAAGGCUAAUAAAAUUGAUUUAUGGCACUUGUGAUAACAAGUUGCACUCCUGUAAA